RNAcentral lists this ribosomal RNA (78 nucleotides) under Vibrio vulnificus. RNAcentral describes it as "partial 16S ribosomal RNA". It matches the Rfam family "Bacterial small subunit ribosomal RNA", at positions 1461 to 1533 of the family's 1533-position model. Lineage: Bacteria; Pseudomonadati; Pseudomonadota; Gammaproteobacteria; Vibrionales; Vibrionaceae. The record is from RNAcentral.
UUUGUGGUUCAUGACUGGGGUGAAGUCGUAACAAGGUAGCGCUAGGGGAACCUGGCGCUGGAUCACCUCCUUAUACGA